CGGCAGCACGGGGGCAACCCUGGUGGCGAGUGGCGAACGGGUGAGUAAUACAUCGGAACGUGUCCUGUAGUGGGGGAUAGCCCGGCGAAAGCCGGAUUAAUACCGCAUACGCUCUACGGAGGAAAGGGGGGGAUCUUAGGACCUCCCGCUACAGGGGCGGCCGAUGGCAGAUUAGCUAGUUGGUGGGGUAAAGGCCUACCAAGGCGACGAUCUGUAGCUGGUCUGAGAGGACGACCAGCCACACUGGGACUGAGACACGGCCCAGACUCCUACGGGAGGCAGCAGUGGGGAAUUUUGGACAAUGGGCGAAAGCCUGAUCCAGCAAUGCCGCGUGUGUGAAGAAGGCCUUCGGGUUGUAAAGCACUUUUGUCCGGAAAGAAAACCUCCGCCCUAAUAUGGUGGGGGGAUGACGGUACCGGAAGAAUAAGCACCGGCUAACUACGUGCCAGCAGCCGCGGUAAUACGUAGGGUGCAAGCGUUAAUCGGAAUUACUGGGCGUAAAGCGUGCGCAGGCGGUCCGCUAAGACAGAUGUGAAAUCCCCGGGCUUAACCUGGGAACUGCAUUUGUGACUGGCGGGCUAGAGUAUGGCAGAGGGGGGUAGAAUUCCACGUGUAG
RNAcentral lists this ribosomal RNA (616 nucleotides) under Paraburkholderia sp. RNAcentral describes it as "bacterial SSU rRNA". It matches the Rfam family "Bacterial small subunit ribosomal RNA", at positions 67 to 678 of the family's 1533-position model. Lineage: Bacteria; Pseudomonadati; Pseudomonadota; Betaproteobacteria; Burkholderiales; Burkholderiaceae. The record is from RNAcentral.